Long non-coding RNA from Acanthopagrus latus (yellowfin seabream), 1309 nucleotides. RefSeq lists it as uncharacterized. The transcript has 4 exons. The record is from RefSeq and is a predicted model, not a curated record. Lineage: Eukaryota; Metazoa; Chordata; Actinopteri; Spariformes; Sparidae.
UAUAACGGUUAGUCGAGGCUCUCGGCUCUGAUUGGCUCAAUCGUGUUAGUAGCUUCUGCAAAUUACCAGAUAAAUCUUUUUCUCUCUCUCUCUCUUCGAGCCAGACUUCACCACGAGGUGGGAUGUUUCCAGAAAUAAUCCCAGACGUCCAGCCUCCAGACCUGAAGCUGUUUUAAUCCUCAGUUAAAGGGUUUUUUUUUUUUUUUUACUUCACUUCUGCUUCUUAACAACAUCAGUCUGAUCUGAUUGAACUUACAGCAUUGAUCUGCUUCCCUCCACACCUGUGUGUUUAAUGAGCCCGGCCCUGUUACCUGUCUGCUCUCCCUCCACACCUGCGCUGCAUCUUCCUCAUUAGCUCGUCGCUGCUUCCAGUGUUUUUCCAGCUUUUUUUUUUUUUUCCACCCGAGCAGCUCCGUCUCUCCGUGUCCUGUUUUUUUUCCCGUUCACUUCCCUCACCUGUGUUUCUCCGCCUCACUCCACCUGCACCUCAUCUCAUUGUUAGUUCAGACUUUUCUUCUCUGUGCUGUUUCCAGAUGUUCCUCCUAGUCUGCAUGUUUCCAGGAGUUCCUGAGAUUCCCUAUUAAUCCUCGUCCAGUCAGACGUCCGCGGCUGAAGGUGGACGACUGACUCUUCGGUGGGGGAGGAAGAGUAGAAUUUAACCUUUGAUUUUUCAAAUGAAAACUUCCUCGACCGUGGAAACCUUCACGGCACGAGUCGGGAUUUGCAGUCGGGUCAGGAGUUGGAAGUUUCACCUGUCCCUGAUUAGCCUCCCGUGUGUUUUCCUCUCCGUCUUCUCCAGACUGCAGCUCAAAGUCAAAUCAGGACGGACGACUGAUGGAAGAGGACUCAGAGACGACUUCUUCUUUUCUAAUAUUUGUUCUUGUGGAAAAAAAAAGAGUGUUUCUUGGGGUUAAUCAGUAAAUAAAUGGUUUCCAUGAUGCGGUUCUUUGAUUCCCUCUGUUGUGUUGCCUGUUUGAAACUACUGACGGGUUGAAUUUGUCUUCCUCUAAACUUUUAUGUCUUCUCAACAGGCUUGGAGAAACUUUGCUAGCGUGGCAGCAACAUAACGUAUAAUUCAACGCUCCAAAAUAAUAUCCGAUGUUGUGUAACAAGAACACUUUUUCAAAUGUUUGCAUCAGAUUUCCAGGGACAAUCGUCCAAGUCACCAGGACAUAAUGUUGGCAGGUGGUGUCUCAGACACGUCCAAGUUCCUUACGUGUGAAAUUACAGGAUAUUUUUUGACGAGGCCCGACAGCUUUCCUACGUUUGUCAGCACGACACCACCUGAUAUUUUUAAGGAGGAACUCGG